This 234-nucleotide ribosomal RNA is filed under the name uncultured bacterium. Its description in RNAcentral is "partial 16S ribosomal RNA". It matches the Rfam family "Bacterial small subunit ribosomal RNA", at positions 104 to 334 of the family's 1533-position model. The record is from RNAcentral.
CGGGACGGGGUGGAGUAAUGUCUGGGAAACUGCCUGAUGGAGGGGGAUAACUACUGGAAACGGUAGCUAAUACCGCAUAACGUCGCAAGACCAAAGAGGGGGACCUUCGGGCCUCUUGCCAUCGGAUGUGCCCAGAUGGGAUUAGCUAGUAGGUGGGGUAACGGCUCACCUAGGCGACGAUCCCUAGCUGGCUGAGAGGAUGACCAGCCACACUGGAACUGAGACACGGUCCAG